UAUUUCUCGGUUACGGUCGUACUUCACGUUUAUGAUCUAAUUUAUUAAUCAAUGAGAGCACACACUGCACAGGAACUGUAUGAAGUGCACUCUAUAUAUUAAUAGGAUCAAACGCUCAACUGCCAACUGUUUCCAACUUUAUUUGCAAUACAGGCUGUAUCACAUUGCUCACUACAGAGUAUCGUAGAAAGUUUUUGGCUUGUCAUCUACUUCAGCACACUACUUCUACUUCACUUCUCUCUCCGUUUACAGACUCAACGUGAAAGCUAGCAGUUUUGAAGAUAACUUCCUGGAGACUUAUGCACCUUUAAUAUUAGGUGCUGCCAAAAAUGGAAACAUUUCUAUUCCGGAAACAGAAGAUGAAUGCCUGAAGCUGUUAAUUGUGUUGCUGAAAUUAGUUCCCAAUUUACAAAGAAUUAGGAUAAUUUCUAAGGUUGAAAUAGUCGAACGCGUCAUUUGUUUCAUCAAGCCUAACGAUGAUAUUUUGCAAAUCAUCAAAGAACAGAAGACCCAUCUCAAUCAGUCACCUUUCAUCUGCUGUGUGGGUACUCUUCAAAACCCUGCAAGCUUUUCUGUAGUCUGCGAAGGAGAAGUCAUCGAAGCUGGGCACAAUUCCACUGACGCUUUCAAGACUCUAUAUGCGUCGUUCCACAUGUUUAGGAUUCAAUAUCCGUCUCUCUUAUCAACAUUUUUUUUAUUUUUUCGACCCAUUCAUUUUUCAUGUUCACCCAGGGAAGAUAAGGCCUAGUGUUGACGACUUACAUGUCCAGCUAAGAGCGGGAUUGGGAUCUGCAUAAUAUGUAUUAUGCUAUCUUUCUAUGUUAUCAACAGAAACCUUUUCGCGAUAACAUUUCAGAGUGAGUGUAUUAUGUUUUUAACAUUUAACUCGUUCUUUUACUUACACUCAAUUUGUUUGACGUCCUAUGUGUUAUAACUAACCAAGUUUU
Molecule: long non-coding RNA, 947 nt
Organism: Daphnia pulicaria
Lineage: Eukaryota; Metazoa; Arthropoda; Branchiopoda; Diplostraca; Daphniidae
Exons: 5
Source: RefSeq, a predicted model, not a curated record